Halteromyces radiatus is the source of this 82-nucleotide non-coding RNA. NCBI's taxonomy places the organism in Eukaryota, Fungi, Mucoromycota, Mucoromycetes, Mucorales, Cunninghamellaceae. The record is from the annotation of a RefSeq genome assembly.
UCCUGGAUGUCCGAGUGGUCUAAGGAGAUGGUCUUAAGAUCCAUUCACGAAAGUGGCGUGAGUUCGAACCUCACUCCAGGAA